GAUGAAGAACGUAGCGAAAUGCGAUAAGUAAUGUGAAUUGCAGAAUUCAGUGAAUCAUCGAAUCUUUGAACGCACAUUGCGCCCGCCAGUAUUCUGGCGGGCAUGCCUGUUCGAGCGUCAUUUCAACCCUCAAGACCCCUUCGGGGGACUUGGUGUUGGGGACCGGCACAGGGGCCUGCCUGCUUGUCUUGCAGCGCCCUCGCCGCCCCCGAAAUGAAUUGGCGGCCUCGUCGCGGCCUCCCCUGCGUAGUAUCACAAACCUCGCAACGGGAACGUGACGGCGGCCACUGCCGUAAAACAACCCAAUUUUAUUAGAGUUGACCUCGAAUCAGGUAGGAAUACCCGCUGAACUUAAGCAUAUCAAUAAGCGGAGGA
This 375-nucleotide unclassified non-coding RNA is filed under the name soil metagenome. RNAcentral describes it as "partial contains 5.8S ribosomal RNA, internal transcribed spacer 2, and large subunit ribosomal RNA". The stretch from base 1 to 120 matches the Rfam family "5.8S ribosomal RNA", at positions 35 to 154 of the family's 154-position model. The record is from RNAcentral.